RNAcentral lists this ribosomal RNA (485 nucleotides) under uncultured bacterium. RNAcentral describes it as "bacterial SSU rRNA". It matches the Rfam family "Bacterial small subunit ribosomal RNA", at positions 28 to 521 of the family's 1533-position model. The record is from RNAcentral.
GACGAACGCUGGCGGCGUGCUUAACACAUGCAAGUCGAACGAGGUCCACCGCGUAGCAAUACAAGGGAAGACCUAGUGGCGAACGGGUGCGUAACACGUGAGGAACUUGUCCCGGUCUCUGGGAUAACAGUUGGAAACGACUGCUAAUACCGGAUGACGUCGGAAUCUCGCAUGGGAUACUGACGAAAGGGUUACUGGAUCGGGAGAGCCUCGCGGCCUAUCAGCUUGUUGGUGAGGUAACGGCUCACCAAGGCAUCGACGGGUAGCUGGUCUGAGAGGAUGAUCAGCCACACUGGGACUGAGACACGGCCCAGACUCCUACGGGAGGCAGCAGUGGGGGAAUCUUGCGCAAUGGGCGAAAGCCUGACGCAGCAACGCCGCGUGCGGGAAGAAGGCCCUCGGGUUGUAAACCGGCUUUCAGAAGGAACGAAAAUGACGGUACUUUCAGAAGAAGGUGCGGCCAACUACGUGCCAGCAGCCGCGGU